This 1032-nucleotide unclassified non-coding RNA is filed under the name Avena barbata (slender wild oat). Its description in RNAcentral is "partial external transcribed spacer". Lineage: Eukaryota; Viridiplantae; Streptophyta; Magnoliopsida; Poales; Poaceae. The record is from RNAcentral.
AGGGGGAGGGUGGCCGAACCCCCCGGGGCGUGCAAGGGUCGUGUUUUAUGGGCAAAAACACGUGGAUUUGAGUGGGAUCCAAGAGGUUGGCGCACGCCCCUAGGCAAGACGUAGCGGUUGGCUCAGUCGGAUGACGUUUCCCUGUAACCAUCACCGUAAACCGGUCCUUUAGUAUCCGUACGGGGAUCUGGGUCUGAGGUGUAUUGCAUGAGGUGUAGCACCAUGAAAUUGAUGAUUUGAGCUCCGCCGCGCAACAACGUGUUAAUCCGGUGUCAUCCACGAUACUUGGGAGCCGUUGCCCCGGUCAUGUAAACGUUCCCAGUCGGUAUGAUUCCUCAAAAAGGUGAUUGCCGCGUUACGUUUUUCGUGUUCCAUGUGGGCUACUUCUCCUCAGUCGCUCUGGGUGGUCAUCCAUGUUAACCACGGAUAAUGCGCUUAUCCGGUGUCGUCCACGAUACUUGGGAGUCGCCGCCCCGGUCUCGUAAACGUUCCCAGUCGGUAUGAUUCCCCAAAAAGGUGAUUGCCGCGUUACGUUUUCGUGUUCCAUAUGGGCUACUUCUCCUCAGUCGCUCUGGGUGGUCAUCUGCGGUAGGCACAUUCCGUCGCCUCUAGUCCCUUCAGAGAAAUGUUGCCCCAUGACGGUAUCGUUAUUGGUGUAACACCCGCGCGUCGUGGACACUCAGGACGCCUUCGUGCAGGCCAUUCCCCCGUGCUAUGCGUGGGGGGAGGCUUGGUUGGCUUGACCGAUGUGGAUACGCGAGCGGAUGAGUAGCUUUGGACCCGUGUCUGUUGUUAGAUCCCCCGUCCUCGUGCGGCCGACUAGCGACGCCGUGUCCCGUCAUUUGUGUGGCUUAUGUUACUGUUGCCUUUCAAGUGCUUGCGUGCAUGUACCCGACCUACGGGAAGUGGUGCUUUGUACACGCUUGCCUCGCGGCGGACACCUCUGGGUGUUCCGCUGUGGCCUAAUGGCGCUUGCGGCGUUACCUCGUGGUACUGGCACGUUCCGUGCUCGGUGCUAUCAAGGAAGCCUCG